This 1318-nucleotide long non-coding RNA is filed under the name Helianthus annuus (common sunflower). RNAcentral describes it as "hypothetical non coding rna". Lineage: Eukaryota; Viridiplantae; Streptophyta; Magnoliopsida; Asterales; Asteraceae. The record is from RNAcentral.
UGAAAUUUUAAGAUAGCAGACGAAGAGUCAUGCCUUAUUCCCUGUUCUUUCAUCAUCUUCUCCCAAUUUUGCCCCCCAAUUCAAUGGAUUACGCCCAUAAUCAAGCCUACACCUGAAUAAGAUGACUCAAAGCGUCACUGCAAUUAGUAAAACAAUCAAUUAGGUCACAUCAUUGAAAUCAAUUCUUGACGAUUGGAUGGCAGCAACCCUAAUUCUCCCGGUGAAGAAGACGAACCGCACAAACGACUAAGUUUUCAUCCAUUUAUAUCCAGUUUCAUCAGAUUGUUAUAAAGGAGAGGUGUGAGGUUUCCCUUCACCACCAUUGUCAUCACCGUCGUUGCCAACCCCACUACCACUGUCUGACGCGAUGGUUGUUGCUUGCAGACCGAUUGAAGAUGAACGAAGGCAAGAUUAUUCAACACAUUCGGCGGACCACAGGAAGGGCACCAGAUUCUUUAGAGGAAGCUCGAAAUAUUAAAGAGUGACUCUUCAUAAAUUGGCAGAUGGGUGGCGCGUAUGGAUCAGCUUCUAGGGAAAAACUUGGUUUGCAGGCAUGUCUUCUUUGGAUUAUUCGACAAUGAAGUGGAAGCUACAGGAGUCUUGUAAUUCUUUAAUUACAUAAUCUUUGAAAGUUAAUGUGUUUAAUGACAUUUCAGAUCAUCAUUUAACAAUGUAAUGGUAGGGAAGCCAUGACCAACUUUGAGUCAAGCAUCUACGGGGAAGAUAGAAGUUUGGAAGCCAUGAAUCAAGUUGAAGGCCCCAAGUUGGGGUUUCAAGGCUGCUGGUGCAGACAAGAAGGCUGAGGCAUGUAGUCCGUGGGCACUGGUAAAGAUCCCUGGAAAUGUUGUUGGGCUACAAGGCUGUUGUUUGACACCAGUAUAUGGACUUUCAAAGGCCUACGCUCAUAAAGUUGAUAUGGACUUCGAUGUUGCUCUGUGUAUGAAGGUCCAACUAUGGGUUAAAAGUCUGCUGUUCAACCACACUAUACUCCUUAUCCAUAUUUGCAUUUGGUUGCUUUAGACAUAUUUUUGGGUAUGUCUUACUUUAAAACAUUUUCUUGUUUAAUGUACAAGGAGAUCUAUUUAUUCUUUAAUUUACUCGCUUCUCAGUCAAUCUCUUAGAUGAUAACAAGCUAAAAGGGCCAGAAAAGCUUUACUGAGUUGACGUCCAUGGUGGAGCUAUUGUCUAAGACUCUAAGUCACUUUUCACUUCUUUUUUUUGCCCUAUUUCUCUUUUUAUGCUGCCAACAAUUUUGUGAUAUAAUGUAGUUUUAGUGUUUUAUUUACGUUCAAAUCGUUGAAAAGAAUAAAGAUAUUUU